Molecule: ribosomal RNA, 500 nt
Filed under: uncultured Glomus
Lineage: Eukaryota; Fungi; Glomeromycota; Glomeromycetes; Glomerales; Glomeraceae
Description: SSU rRNA
Rfam family: Eukaryotic small subunit ribosomal RNA
Source: RNAcentral
AGCAGCCGCGGUAAUUCCAGCUCCAAUAGCGUAUAUUAAAGUUGUUGCAGUUAAAAAGCUCGUAGUUGAAUUUCGGGAUCAAUAUGUUGGUCGUGCCUCGGUACGUACUAGCAUAUUGGUUUCUCCUUUCUGAAGAACCAUGAUGCCAUUUAUUUGGUGUCGUGGGGAAUCAGGACUGUUACUUUGAAAAAAUUAGAGUGUUUAAAGCAGGCUCACGCUUGAAUACAUUAGCAUGGAAUAAUGAAAUAGGACGUUUGAUUCUAUUUUGUUGGUUUCUAGGAUCGACGUAAUGAUUAAUAGGGAUAGUUGGGGGCAUUAGUAUUCAAUUGUCAGAGGUGAAAUUCUUGGAUUUAUUGAAGACUAACUACUGCGAAAGCAUUUGCCAAGGAUGUUUUCAUUAAUCAAGAACGAAAGUUAGGGGAUCGAAGACGAUCAGAUACCGUCGUAGUCUUAACCAUAAACUAUGCCGACUAGGGAUCGGAUGAUGUAAUUUUUAAUGA